RNAcentral lists this ribosomal RNA (492 nucleotides) under uncultured bacterium. Its description in RNAcentral is "partial 16S ribosomal RNA". It matches the Rfam family "Bacterial small subunit ribosomal RNA", at positions 29 to 507 of the family's 1533-position model. The record is from RNAcentral.
AGUGAACGCUGGCGGUAGGCCUAACACAUGCAAGUCGAACGGCAGCACAGUAAGAGCUUGCUCUUACGGGUGGCGAGUGGCGGACGGGUGAGGAAUACAUCCGAAUCUACUUUUUCGUGGGGGAUAACGUAGGGAAACUUACGCUAAUACCGCAUACGACCUACGGGUGAAAGCAGGGGAUCUUCGGACCUUGCGCGAUUGAAUGCGCCGAUGUCGGAUUAGCUAGUUGGCGGGGUAAAGGCCCACCAAGGCGACGAUCCGUAGCUGGUCUGAGAGGAUGAUCAGCCACACUGGAACUGAGACACGGUCCAGACUCCUACGGGAGGCAGCAGUGGGGAAUAUUGGACAAUGGGCGCAAGCCUGAUCCAGCCAUACCGCGUGGGUGAAGAAGGCCUUCGGGUUGUAAAGCCCUUUUGUUGGGAAAGAAAAGCAGCAGGUUAAUACCCCGCUGUUCUGACGGUACCCAAAGAAUAAGCACCGGCUAACUUCGUG